AUUCAUCCGACUCUUGAGAGGGAUUAUAACAAGCAUAUUGUCACCAACAUUCGCAAUCAUCCGCAUUCCGUACUACAUUUGGUCUCCACGUCAACAUUCCCUGGAUGAUGUAUUCACAAUUGCAUACUACUAAGUAAAUUGCAUACAAAGAAAAUUGACAAAGCUUCCUAGUUCUCCAGAUUCCCACUAGAUUUUUGAGAGGGGCAGAAUAACCUCUACAAUGCGUCAACAGUGUCGUUCAACGUUACUCUCUUGUUUCUCUGAGUGUUCACUAUUCUGGAUAUCG
RNAcentral lists this long non-coding RNA (286 nucleotides) under Physcomitrium patens. RNAcentral describes it as "long non-coding RNA (PPAT_LNC001944)". Lineage: Eukaryota; Viridiplantae; Streptophyta; Bryopsida; Funariales; Funariaceae. The record is from RNAcentral.